UCAAAGGUAUGCCGUACCGGCACCCUUUUUCUUUUUAAAAAGCGCUGCAUAUGCCUUGUAUGUUAAAUAUCUUACCAGAGGCAAUUGCCUGCCUCAAACAAAUUUAGGCUACAAUCCUAUACAGUAUUCAGUUACCUGGAACUAAGUCAAAUUGAUCUUGAUGGGACUUUCCUUUGAGUAGACGUGUAGGAUUGCAUUGUCAAGCUGCAUGAUAGACAUGCUUUCAUAUUUAAGUAAACUGUUAAUGUCUUUAAAGCUUGUAGCUUUACAUAUUUCUUUUGGUAACUGAAAAGAAGAGUUGAUGGGGGAGAUGUUCAGUCAUGUUGUAAUAAUAGCUGUCUAAUGUUUUAAAAUGCACAUUUUGUAAUAUGAAUUUGAAGGGGCUUUGUCACCUUAAAUCUGCCAAGAUUCUUUAGUGUUACUAUUUUUUAAGGCAUAAAGAAGAGAGUUACCAUAAUUAAGCAGCUGUGGGUUUGGAAGGGCAUUGUUUAAUUCUUUUUAUUGAGUUAUAAUAUUAUAUCAGGUCCAUAAUAACUAAAAAUGAACUGAAAAAUAUUAACAUAAUAAAAGAAAAACAAUUGCAGUGCUGAUUUAAAGCAAGAAUUUAUCUUUUUGAGAUCAUUUCAGAUGUAUGAUAAUUAAAAUGUCUCUAACAAAAUUAAAUAAUCUUUCUGUUUCAUAUUACUGUUCCAGGAUGUAGAGGCACAUGAGGAGAAAUGACCAAAGGAAAACAAGAAUUUAAGAAACUCAGAUAACUAGAACCAUUCAAAAGCUGGAGGUGGAAAGCUCCAUUGUCUCUGAAUAUUAACAUGAAUGCUUGGCCAUGGUACAAUCAGGAGGAGAACUUUAGGAUCAACAUUUUGGGCCACACAGCAGAAUGAGCAAACACAGCAUAUUUUGAAUUUCCUGGUCUGAAACCACUGGAAGCUCCAGGUCAUCGUUUCUUUUCCUGUAGACGACUCGUGAGAUCAGAGUUAUGAGAAACAUUUCCAUAAUGAGCAGCUGUUGGUCCAUAUCUGGCAAAUCAAAAGGGAACAAAAGAGCAAGAGGUUUAAGGACCAGGAAUGGAAAAAAGGACCAUACAGAGUGGAUCUUGCAGUCCUCACGCUCAGUGCAGAGAAUCCAGAGCUAGAGCAUCUGCAAAUGAUGGCUGUCCAAUUUCCGCAUCCUAGAAGAAUUCCAAGGCAGCACUCGGUCCAGAUAUGCAGACAAAUCAACUAUCACUGAAUGUGAGAGUGGGGAACAGACAUGGAAUGCAGAAGGAGAGAGACUUGAAGUAUGUACUUGGAAAUAACUGCAAUACUCCCAGGUGUGCCAUCCACCGCCUAUCACCCUGGACACAACCAAACAGCAGCAAUGGACACAGAAAGCAGCCUUCAUGGAGGUCAGCCUUCCAAGACCAGCAGACUCAUCUAUGUGCAAGAGAGCACUAGCCGUUCCAUUUCGGUUUUCAACUGCAUCUGUGUUAUUACCUAAUGGAGAAUGGAAGGUUACAUAUCAUCAGUACUCUAAGGAAUAUUCAAAAUACGGAAUCUAUACAUGGUCGUCCUAUGGUCAGGUGCGUCCUAUGGAGCGGAAAAAUAUGGUGAUCUGCACUUUCCCCACACAUCUGAAAGAAGCCUGAGUCAAAUAAAGGGAGAUACUAUGAAAGGUCAACAGAAUCAUCAGUUUCUGCCUUGACAGCAUCAUCCACUACAGAGAAAAACAAUAAAAUGGUCAAUCCAACAUAAACUGAUUACAACAGUGAAAAUACUGAUGAUGAUGCAGCACAACACAAUCCUACCUAUAAGUAUAUAUGAGUUGGUGCACACCUCUAUUUGUGCCACAACAGCUGAAAUGGAAUUCUAUGCAAGGCAAGCUCAUGCAGCCUGUCUCAUCAAUUUCCAUUCCACCCUGCUUGCUACAUCUUUUGUUUCUGCUAAUGCUAGGUUGCAACUUUACUGGGAAUGGGAUGGAGACACUGUGAGUCUGAGAACCACUGCUGAAGCCUCAGAAAACCCCUUCUACAGUUUGCCACAUGGCACAUUAAACAGAUACAUGAAUUUUGUAAAAAGUGGAUAUUUGAAUUUAGAAGCAUUUUUUUCAUUUUGCUUGACAAAAUGCUACAGACUGGCCAAGGCAACACCAAAUUAGGCAUCAAACUCACGACUUAAAAACUGGUAGAGCUUGUUUGGGAGGCUGAAAGCAAAGAAUGAGGUAUUCCACUGGCAUCAAUUACAGCUUCAGAGGCACAAUCUGCUACCAAAACUUCAGAAACUACAUCUUCUCCAAGAGAACCUGUGGCAAUUUCUGCUUCUACAACAUUAC
Zootoca vivipara (common lizard) is the source of this 2307-nucleotide non-coding RNA. The record is from RefSeq and is a predicted model, not a curated record. NCBI's taxonomy places the organism in Eukaryota, Metazoa, Chordata, Lepidosauria, Squamata, Lacertidae.